CCUUACUGGGGGACAGGUCAGCCUUUUUGUUCUAUUCAAGCUUUCAACUGAUUGGAUGAAGCCUACUCAUAUCAGGGAGGGAAAUCUGCUUUGCUGAUUCUACUGAUUUAAAUGUUAAUCUCAUCCAAAAACACCACACAGAGACACUCAGAGACACUCAGAAUAAUGUUUGAUCAAAUAGCUAGUCAUCUUGUGGCCCAGUCAAGUUGACACAUGAAAAUAACCAUCACACUCCCUUCCUUCCUCUCUUCCUCCCUUCUUGUCCCAUCUUGGCUGUAGGGACCCAGAGUUGAGCUUCUGUUGCACUGAGCUGGAUACAGAGUGAAUGAGCAGGUUGUAGGUCAAAUGCCAUGGAUUCUUGAUUCUUAUCAAGAUUUAUUAAAUUUCUCUUGAAUAAAUGUUUCUCAAUUUGCUAUGAGCCAUAGGAAAACUUUCAGGCUUUAAAAUUUAAACCCAUUGGAUAAAAUGGAAUUCAUUCUCCCUCCCUCCUUCCUUAACUUCCUCCCUUCUUGCCAGAAUUCCUUCUUUUCCCACUAACUUCCUUUCUUCUUUCUUUCCUUUUUUUCUUUCUUCCUCCAACACAUGUUUGUUAGGGCCUCUAGCUCUACAUAGCCAUAUUAAACUUUUUGGAGAAAUAACUUGCGAAGACUGGAGAUCUAAGAACUCUGAAUGUGGGAACUGAAUGCCAGAUCUUGGAUUCUCAGUGGGAAGUGUGGCCUGGAGAAGAAGUUUACAAUGUUACAUGUUUCUGAGGACCCUUCAUACUUCAAGCUCAAGUCCAGCUUGCCAAGUUCCAGUUUUUAUCUGAUCAUCUUUGCAUCAAUAAUACAUGAAGCUGAGAUCUUCUGAAAAGAGGAUACUAUUCUCCCCCCUCACUGAAUGCUUUGCUUUUGCCAGCACCAACAUUGAUUUGGAUUUAAUAAUCUGUAGUCCUUUUGGUUUGAUCACACUUCUCAGGAAACCCCAAAAAGAGCCAUGGCCACAUAUCCACCAACAUGGAAUCAAUUGCUCCUUCUUAAUAAAUGCAAUCAUUGAACACCUGA
Molecule: long non-coding RNA, 1043 nt
Organism: Felis catus (domestic cat)
Lineage: Eukaryota; Metazoa; Chordata; Mammalia; Carnivora; Felidae
Exons: 3
Source: RefSeq, a predicted model, not a curated record